UACGUAGGCAGCAAGCGUUGUUCGGAGUUACUGGGCGUAAAGGGGGCGUAGGUGGCUCUAUAAGUAUGGUGUGAAAUCUCCCGGCUUAACUGGGAGGGUGCGCCGUAGACUGUGGGGCUAGAGUGUGGGAGAGGAAAGUGGAAUUCCUGGUGUAGCGGUGAAAUGCGUAGAUAUCAGGAGGAACACCGGUGGUGUAAACGGCUUUCUGGACCAUAACUGACACUGAGGCACGAAAGCGUGGGUAGCAAACAGG
This 253-nucleotide ribosomal RNA is filed under the name uncultured bacterium. Its description in RNAcentral is "partial 16S ribosomal RNA". It matches the Rfam family "Bacterial small subunit ribosomal RNA", at positions 524 to 776 of the family's 1533-position model. The record is from RNAcentral.